RNAcentral lists this small nucleolar RNA (99 nucleotides) under Drosophila willistoni. Its description in RNAcentral is "snoRNA:GK26627". The record is from RNAcentral. Lineage: Eukaryota; Metazoa; Arthropoda; Insecta; Diptera; Drosophilidae.
UAGCACCUUAAAGCGUUUUCUUGUCGGCCAAAUUAUAAAAUGCUCUGGAAAAUCGUACAAAGUGUGCAAAACUAAAGUAAAAAACAGUUGCAAGUGAUU